This 995-nucleotide long non-coding RNA is filed under the name Homo sapiens (human). Its description in RNAcentral is "HSALNT0153389". The record is from RNAcentral. Lineage: Eukaryota; Metazoa; Chordata; Mammalia; Primates; Hominidae.
GUGGGGAUGUCGAGGAUACAAAGAUGAAGGAAGAAGAAUGGCUGUCUUUCUUUCUAUUCAGAAAAGAUCCCAGAUAAUAUACCCUGUGUCAUCAUGGCUUCCAAACAGUAAUCCCUUCUUCAGAAAUUCAUCAGCUUCACAGAAAAUUUUGUUGAACAGCCUAAAAACAGAAGAUCAAGGCAAAACAAUCUGCUGUGUAUUGCAACCUAAGAAGUGAGCUGACCUUCCAUUUAGAGGGGCCUGCAACAGCAAUCUGCCUCCUUCAAAGGGUCUGUGGAUCCUCUUGGCUUUCCCGGUAUGUUCCUGUGGUAGUUCUUGGAGCAAAAGUUCACGAUGUGAGUCUCCACACACUGCUCUGUCCACUGGAGUGGGAGCUGCAAGUUAGUCCUGCCUCCAAUCUGCCAUUUUCCCCCACCUGAUCCAUCAUUCUAUUCUCUUUGUCUGCAAAGCCUGGGCUGGAGAUCUAGGCGGGAUCUGGCACAUCAUCACCACCUUUCCUGGUUUACUUAAAUGAAUUCUCAAGAUUAACUCUGAAGCCAUGGUAAAACAAAUAGAGAUCAUGUAUUGUUCUCCAAAGAUUCUCCAUCAUAUACUUGUAGAGCUGGUCUACACCAUGAUCUUGUCAUAGGGAAUAACAAAAUAGUAAGAGUGGGAUGUUAGAAUGAGAUCAACAAAUAACUUUACCUUUGAACAGAUGUUAAAUUGCAGUGUGUGGGGCUCAAUUUACUAUUAUCAAAUAUCUUCCCUAUAAAAAUACACAUUUAUCUGACUGGAAAGACAUUCAGAGUUUUAGGCAGACAAACAAAUGUAUGUGAACAUCUAACCUGCUUUAAAAUUCUGAACAUUUCUAUUAAACGCUGGGUCAAAAUUCUGGUUCUUGUUGAGUUGUCUUUUUUCUUCUUUGCAGCUCUCUCACUGGGCUUGACUAAAUGAAGAAGUUAGGUUUGUUGUCUGCAAUAAUCUAAGGCUUUUAGAAAACUCAACUUGGGAUGUCC